Molecule: ribosomal RNA, 492 nt
Filed under: uncultured bacterium
Lineage: Bacteria
Description: partial 16S ribosomal RNA
Rfam family: Bacterial small subunit ribosomal RNA
Source: RNAcentral
AGUGAACGCUGGCGGUAGGCCUAACACAUGCAAGUCGAACGGCAGCACAGUAAGAGCUUGCUCUUACGGGUGGCGAGUGGCGGACGGGUGAGGAAUACAUCGGAAUCUACUUUUUCGUGGGGGAUAACGUAGGGAAACUUACGCUAAUACCGCAUACGACCUACGGGUGAAAGCAGGGGAUCUUCGGACCUUGCGCGAUUGAAUGAGCCGAUGUCGGAUUAGCUAGUUGGCGGGGUAAAGGCCCACCAAGGCGACGAUCCGUAGCUGGUCUGAGAGGAUGAACCAGCCACACUGGAACUGAGACACGGCCCAGACCCCUACGGGAGGAAGCAGGGGGAAAUUUUGGAAAAGGGGGGCAAGCCUGACCCACCCAUCCCGCGUGGGUAAAGAAGGCCUGCGGUUUGUAAACCCCUUUUUUGGGGAAAAAAAAGCAGCGGGUUAAUCCCCCGGUGUUCUGAGGGAACCAAAAGAAUAAGCACGGGCUAACUUCGU